GUGCUCGCUUGGGCAGCACAUAUACUAAAACUGGAACGAUACAGAGAAGAUUAGCAUGGCCCCUGUGCAAGGAUGACAUGCAAAUUCGUGAAGCGGUCCAUAUUUUU
RNAcentral lists this small nuclear RNA (107 nucleotides) under Tursiops truncatus (common bottlenose dolphin). The record is from RNAcentral. Lineage: Eukaryota; Metazoa; Chordata; Mammalia; Artiodactyla; Delphinidae.